CUGGUCCCUUCCUCCUCUGGUGGCUGCGGCUGUUGCUCCUCCAGUUUCCUGUCAUAAUCACUGCAUGAUGGUGCAUUGACCCGUAUCUGCAUCACAGAACAGUUCCCAUGCCUGGAGAAAUAAUGGAUAGAAGCAGCCAAGACACAAACACUUGAUGCAGCACCCAGAGGACCAAGCUCAGAGGGACGGAAGGUAGCAAGGGACACACCAAACACUGGCUGAGAAUCUGACCAGCUCCUGUCUGCAGUAAGAGGCUGAUGUACUAUUGGUGUGUGCAGGAUGUAAGAUCGCAGGGUCUCGCUCAAAGAUUGGAGUGCAGUGGCAUGAUCUUGGCUUACUACAACCUCUGCCUCCUGGGCUCAAGCAAUCCUCCUACCUCAGCCUCCCAGGUAGCUGGAUCUACAAGCAUGUGCAACCAUGCCUAGAUCAUUUUUGUAUAUAGAGAC
RNAcentral lists this long non-coding RNA (446 nucleotides) under Homo sapiens (human). Its description in RNAcentral is "HSALNT0296842". Lineage: Eukaryota; Metazoa; Chordata; Mammalia; Primates; Hominidae. The record is from RNAcentral.